GGCUCAGGAUGAACGCUGGCGGCGUGCUUAACACAUGCAAGUCGAACGGGGUGCUCAUGACGGAGGAUUCGUCCAACGGAUUGAGUUACCUAGUGGCGGACGGGUGAGUAACGCGUGAGGAACCUGCCUUGGAGAGGGGAAUAACACUCCGAAAGGAGUGCUAAUACCGCAUGAUGCAGUUGGGUCGCAUGGCUCUGACUGCCAAAGAUUUAUCGCUCUGAGAUGGCCUCGCGUCUGAUUAGCUAGUAGGCGGGGUAACGGCCCACCUAGGCGACGAUCAGUAGCCGGACUGAGAGGUUGACCGGCCACAUUGGGACUGAGACACGGCCCAGACUCCUACGGGAGGCAGCAGUGGGGAAUAUUGGGCAAUGGGCGCAAGCCUGACCCAGCAACGCCGCGUGAAGGAAGAAGGCUUUCGGGUUGUAAACUUCUUUUGUCGGGGACGAAACAAAUGACGGUACCCGACGAAUAAGCCACGGCUAACUACGUGCCAGCAGCCGCGGUAAUACGUAGGUGGCAAGCGUUAUCCGGAUUUACUGGGUGUAAAGGGCGUGUAGGCGGGAUUGCAAGUCAGAUGUGAAAACUGGGGGCUCAACCUCCAGCCUGCAUUUGAAACUGUAGUUCUUGAGUGCUGGAGAGGCAGUC
RNAcentral lists this ribosomal RNA (645 nucleotides) under uncultured bacterium. RNAcentral's name for it is "bacterial SSU rRNA". It matches the Rfam family "Bacterial small subunit ribosomal RNA", at positions 21 to 662 of the family's 1533-position model. The record is from RNAcentral.